This 253-nucleotide ribosomal RNA is filed under the name uncultured bacterium. RNAcentral describes it as "partial 16S ribosomal RNA". It matches the Rfam family "Bacterial small subunit ribosomal RNA", at positions 524 to 776 of the family's 1533-position model. The record is from RNAcentral.
GACGAACCGUGCGAACGUUGUUCGGAAUCACUGGGCUUAAAGGGCGCGUAGGCGGGCUGACAAGUCGGGUGUGAAAGCCCCGGGCUCAACCUGGGAAUUGCAUUCGAGACUGAAUAGCUAGGGUACGGUAGAGGGAAGCGGAAUUUCCGGUGUAGCGGUGAAAUGCGUAGAUAUCAGGAGGAACACCGAUGGCGAAGGCAGGUCUCUGGGCACUUACUGACGCUGAGGAGCGAAAGCGUGGGGAGCGAACAGG